Non-coding RNA from Phrynosoma platyrhinos (Desert horned lizard), 71 nucleotides. Lineage: Eukaryota; Metazoa; Chordata; Lepidosauria; Squamata; Phrynosomatidae. The record is from the annotation of a GenBank genome assembly.
GCCAGCGUGGCUUAGUGGUUUCAGUGUUGUAUUGCAACUCUGAAGACCUGGGUUUGAUUCCCAGUUUGGCC